This 626-nucleotide ribosomal RNA is filed under the name Escherichia coli. Its description in RNAcentral is "partial 16S ribosomal RNA". It matches the Rfam family "Bacterial small subunit ribosomal RNA", at positions 919 to 1533 of the family's 1533-position model. The record is from RNAcentral. Lineage: Bacteria; Pseudomonadati; Pseudomonadota; Gammaproteobacteria; Enterobacterales; Enterobacteriaceae. RNAcentral also lists the same sequence under 1 other name.
GCCCGCACAAGCGGUGGAGCAUGUGGUUUAAUUCGAUGCAACGCGAAGAACCUUACCUGGUCUUGACAUCCACGGAAGUUUUCAGAGAUGAGAAUGUGCCUUCGGGAACCGUGAGACAGGUGCUGCAUGGCUGUCGUCAGCUCGUGUUGUGAAAUGUUGGGUUAAGUCCCGCAACGAGCGCAACCCUUAUCCUUUGUUGCCAGCGGUCCGGCCGGGAACUCAAAGGAGACUGCCAGUGAUAAACUGGAGGAAGGUGGGGAUGACGUCAAGUCAUCAUGGCCCUUACGACCAGGGCUACACACGUGCUACAAUGGCGCAUACAAAGAGAAGCGACCUCGCGAGAGCAAGCGGACCUCAUAAAGUGCGUCGUAGUCCGGAUUGGAGUCUGCAACUCGACUCCAUGAAGUCGGAAUCGCUAGUAAUCGUGGAUCAGAAUGCCACGGUGAAUACGUUCCCGGGCCUUGUACACACCGCCCGUCACACCAUGGGAGUGGGUUGCAAAAGAAGUAGGUAGCUUAACCUUCGGGAGGGCGCUUACCACUUUGUGAUUCAUGACUGGGGUGAAGUCGUAACAAGGUAACCGUAGGGGAACCUGCGGUUGGAUCACCUCCUUACCUUAAAGAAGC